Molecule: non-coding RNA, 148 nt
Filed under: Gorilla gorilla gorilla (western lowland gorilla)
Lineage: Eukaryota; Metazoa; Chordata; Mammalia; Primates; Hominidae
Source: Rfam by way of RNAcentral
GCUGGGUGUGGUAGUGGGCACCUAUAAUCCCAGCUACUUAGGAGGCUGAGGCAGGAGAAUCGCUUGAACCCGGGAGUUGGAGCUUGCAGUGAGCCGAGACUGUGCCACUGCACUCCAGCCUGGGUGACAGAGUGAGACUCUGUCUCAA